GUCCAUGCAGUAAACGAUGUUCACUAGGUGUCAGCUCCUUUAAAGGGUUGGUGCCGCCGCUAACGCAUUAAGUGAACCACCUGGGGAGUACAGUCGCAAGGCUGAAACUCAAAGGAAUUGACGGGGACCCGCACAAACGGUGGAGCAUGUGGUUUAAUACGACGAUACGCGUGGAACCUUACCCAGGCUUGACAUGUAUCUGAAAUCCUUAUGAAAGUAGGGACCUCCCUCAAGGACAGAUACACAGGUGUUGCAUGGCUGUCGU
RNAcentral lists this ribosomal RNA (265 nucleotides) under uncultured bacterium. Its description in RNAcentral is "partial 16S ribosomal RNA". It matches the Rfam family "Bacterial small subunit ribosomal RNA", at positions 793 to 1055 of the family's 1533-position model. The record is from RNAcentral.